CAAAGGUAGCAUAAUCACUUGCCUAUUAAUUGUAGGCUAGAAUGAAAGGAUCAACGAAAUAAAAACUGUCUCAGUUAGCCACCUAAAAAUUAUUUUCUAUUUGAAGAAAGAUAGAUACUCGUAGGACAAGAAGACCCUAUAGAGCUUCAUUUUAACUAUAGAAUAUAUGAAUAUUCGGUUGGGGCGACCCAGGGCUAAAUAAUCACCCUCAUAAAAGAUUUAUAAAUCAUGACCCUAAAGAUCAAAAGACCAAGCUACCUUAGGGAUAACAGGCUAAUUCCAUUCAAGAGUCCUUAUCAACAAUGGGGUUUGGCACCUCGAUGUUGGCUUAGGGUAUCUAUAUAGCGCAAAAGUU
This 355-nucleotide ribosomal RNA is filed under the name Amynthas dinagatensis. Its description in RNAcentral is "partial 16S rRNA". It matches the Rfam family "Bacterial large subunit ribosomal RNA", at positions 1951 to 2563 of the family's 2925-position model. Lineage: Eukaryota; Metazoa; Annelida; Clitellata; Crassiclitellata; Megascolecidae. The record is from RNAcentral.